This 250-nucleotide ribosomal RNA is filed under the name uncultured bacterium. RNAcentral describes it as "partial 16S ribosomal RNA". It matches the Rfam family "Bacterial small subunit ribosomal RNA", at positions 355 to 602 of the family's 1533-position model. The record is from RNAcentral.
UGAGGAAUAUUGGUCAAUGGGCGCAAGCCUGAACCAGCCAUCCCGCGUGAAGGAUGAAGGUCCUAUGGAUUGUAAACUUCUUUUAUACACCAAGAAAAACUCGAACGUGUUCGAGCCCGACGGUAGUGUAUGAAUAAGCAUCGGCUAACUCCGUGCCAGCAGCCGCGGUAAUACGGAGGAUGCAAGCGUUAUCCGGAUUCAUUGGGUUUAAAGGGUGCGUAGGCGGCUUUUUAAGUCAGUGGUGAAAUCC